UAAGUGAAUUGUUUUGUGUAGA
This 22-nucleotide microRNA is filed under the name Caenorhabditis elegans. RNAcentral describes it as "cel-miR-785-3p". Its record names the gene cel-miR-785-3p. The record is from miRBase by way of RNAcentral. Lineage: Eukaryota; Metazoa; Nematoda; Chromadorea; Rhabditida; Rhabditidae.